UGUCACAGCCUUGAUUGGAAAUGUCAUCCUCCUUGUACCCAGAUUGGCAGCUGAACAGACCUCAUUUGGUUGCUGCUCCUCUGCCAGAUGACCCAAACCCAACAAAAAGGAAGUACACUGACUUUUCUUCUUAUCCUUUGUAUUGCUCAGAAGAGACACAAUAAUGAGUAACAGGCAGAAAGCCCACUCUGCUAUGCUGAAAGGUAGUGAAUUACAGUGCUGAUGAAUAGAAGAUAAACAAUGCACCAUCCCCAUUAAUUAUAGCAAAAUAUCUAAGUGCUAAACUAACUCAUUGCAGGUGAUACUUUACAUCCACGCUUUGACUUUACACAUUGGCUUCAUACACUUUUUUUUUACAGUAAGCUAAAACCCUCCGAGAUUCAAGCUGCAAGAAUAAUUGAUGAUACUUUUGUCAUCUCUCCCUGUGUUUUUUACAAGGAACUAGCAGGGAAUGGCCAUGGGAUUUAACAUGUGAUUUAUUGAAUCGUAUAUAUUUGGAUAAACUGCAUAUUACUCAGAAAGGUCCAGUAUAGCACUGGGCCUAUAUGAUGAAUGCUGGGGAUAUGGUGAUCCCAAGAAAGUUGAAGUAAUGAGCUUCCCAAGUAGUUUGAGUUCACCAUUUGCUAGAAAAAGAAGACAUAGCUAGCAGAGUUAUUGCAAGAAAGAUUGUUUUUCAUUAUUCUGGCUACACAUGUAAUUCCCCCACUGGUGGAUGUGUAUAUUAAUAAGUUUGAGCUUCAGUGCCUUGGUGCUUCGAGUAUAAAGGAUAUAACAUUUUUCUUGGAGGACUCUUUGUUGUGUGCUCUACCUGUAUGGCCACCAAGAUCUCUUUGAUGGCAGGGAUAGUACAGCCAAUUGGUCUCCUUGUUUUGGAAUUCCAAAUAGAUUUUGAUUGUCAAAUUGGCUAUUAUUGUGACAGCAGAAUGGUUGACUUUCCAAAUAAACCUGAAGUAUGACAUUAUAACGUCCCAUUUUCCAACUUCCAAAAUUGCUGGUAGUUUGAGCUCAACUAGGAUGCAAAAACAGCACAGUUUAAUAACUAAUAGAGGAGUUCCUGGUUGUUAUUUGGGUGUUGUUCUAUCAGCUUCUUAGCAUUUUCUGUCAGCCUGCUGUUCAGUUGGGUCAUUUGUUAUCUCUUAAAUUGGCAAUAGGUGGCAGUAAAGGGGCCUUUUAGAUCUCACUUCAUCAAGAAACCCUAGCAGCAACUAGCAAUAGUAACAGUUACUUUUCCAACUACCCGAUAAAUAACAUGUCUCAUUACUUUUAAACACUAUAAUGCAUAAUGGAAAAUUAAAUAUCUUCAGAAAGUUACUUUUCAAGCAGGCCUCCACCCAUCUCUAGGUUAAUAAGGUGACCAUUAUGCCAACCUAUCAUGCAAUUUUCUUGGCAAGAUUUGUUCAGAGUGUUAUCGAACACGGCACCCUCACCCCUAAUUUAAAAAAGGCAUUUAUAAUUCUCCAAGAGCAAGGGCCAGGAUGAAUUGCAGCACCAUCCUUACCAUUAGAAGAAGUCUUUCCCAACCUCCAUAGACCAGCAGCAGGACACACUCCCAAGAAGUCAAUUUUUUCUAUUUUAUACUUUUUGACCCAAUUCUUUAAUCAAAGCUAAUCUGGAUCAGUGCAUGUUCGACGGGAGUCAGGACUCCUUAAAUGUGUACCUCAGGAUCGAGUGCGUAUCUCAUAGAGCAGGGUCCACCUGAGAGCCUUUCUCAUAGACCCCAGGAAUCUUUAAGGGGCGGCCCAGUCCCAACUUUGGCCUGAUCUAAGGGAGCCAACCCUGCUAGUCCACACCAGCACCUGUCUCAUGGACCCUGGCCCCAGUGGAAAGUCUCUCUAUGGACAACAAAAUCUUCAGUUUACUUAAAUGAAACAUAUCCUUAUGAUGCUACGACAUAUCUUUUCCCAUGGCUUCAUAACAUUUUCUUUACUUAUGUCUCCAUUUUCUUUUCUCUCUGGCUAAUAUCCGUAUGUGCGCAGGAAUCAGAUAAUAAAAAGAGGGAAAGGAAAUCACCUUUCUAACCUUUUCAUACCUGACCAUGGUGCAGCCAUUUCAUUUCCCCAGACCCUUGCUCCUCUCCCCUAUUUCCUUGCCUAUGAAUUAUGCUUGAUCACAUUUUAUUUUAUUUUAUUUCCUAUACAUAUAUUAAAUAGAAGGCAAACUUCAAUGAACUAUUUUAACCUAUGCUCAACCUCUGGGCAAAGUCAACAUUCUUGGAAUUUCUUGUCGAGGCAUUAAACUGGAGGCACAGCAAGGACAAUUAUGCCUCGGACAUUAUCUUUCUGCAAGUAAGCUGAUAUUCUUACUAUUGUCAUCCUGGAAUCCCCUUUCGGGGGAUUCAAGCCAUCAACUAAGCCAAGCAAUGAACAAAGGAAAUAUUAUUUAUUUAUUUAUUUACAUCACUUUUACCCUGCCUUUCUCCCCAAGGAGACUCAAAGAGGCUUACAAUAAAUAGGCAAAAAUUUAAUGCCUAAAAACAAUGUAAAAACAACAAUUCAUAUAAAACAAUCUACAAAACAACA
This 2519-nucleotide long non-coding RNA is filed under the name Anolis carolinensis (green anole). RNAcentral's name for it is "lncRNA (ENSACAG00000033918.2)". Lineage: Eukaryota; Metazoa; Chordata; Lepidosauria; Squamata; Anolidae. The record is from RNAcentral.